CCUACGUGAGGCAGCAGUGGGGAAUAUUGCACAAUGGGGGAGACCCUGAUGCAGCGACGCCGCGUGAAGGAAGAAUUAUUUAGGUAUGUAAACUCCUAUCAGCUCGGGAGAAAAUAACGGUACCUGACUAAUAAUCCCCGGCUAACUACGUGCCAGCAGCCGCGGGAAUAUGUAGGGGGCAAGCGUUAUCCGGAUUUACUGGGUGUAAGGGGAGCGUAGGCGGUUUAGCAAGUCAGAAGUGAAAGCCCGGGGCUCAACUCCGGGACUGCUUUUGAAACUGGUGAACUAGAUGGCAGGAGAGGUAAGUGGAAUACCUAGUGUAGCGGUGAAAUGCGUAGAUAUUAGGAGGAACACCAGUGGCGAAGGCGGCUUACUGGACUGUAAAUGACGCUGAGGCUCGAAAGCGUGGGUAGCAAACAGGAUUAGAUACCCUUGUAGUC
Molecule: ribosomal RNA, 440 nt
Filed under: uncultured bacterium
Lineage: Bacteria
Description: partial 16S ribosomal RNA
Rfam family: Bacterial small subunit ribosomal RNA
Source: RNAcentral